This 781-nucleotide long non-coding RNA is filed under the name Marmota monax (woodchuck). The record is from RNAcentral. Lineage: Eukaryota; Metazoa; Chordata; Mammalia; Rodentia; Sciuridae.
CCUGGAAAUACAGGACAUAGCUGGUACUUUUCCUAACUCCUGAUGGACAAGCGUGAGUGAUCUGGGGCUUUGCUCCAGGAGCUGCAGUCCCAAGGCCAUGUGCUGGGGAGAAGACCUUAUCCCAUGGGGCCAAUGUAGGUGGGACUUGAGCUUGUGCUCUCAGUGGUAAAGCAUCUCUGUACUAAAGGGGUGGGGGGUGGGAGAGACCUUCCUAGAUGGACACCUGGAUCUGUGAGCAUGACUGGUCAUGCUUGUCUCUUUGGUUGGAGGAACAAAACCUUCAGUGUAUGCUUGUACCAGAUCAACUUGAAUAAAAACAUAACUGACUUAAAUUUCACCAAAUUUGAAUAUCUGCCUGUUAUGGAAUGGAUACGUGGUGUCCCCAGGAGCUCAUAUGUGAGACAAUGCAAGAAACUUCAGAGGUCAAAUGAUUAGAUUAUGAGAGUUGCAACCUGAUCAGUGGAUCCGUCUGCUGAUGUGGUUUAACUGGCUGUGACUAGAGGAGGUCAGUCUCUAAGGGAAGUGCCUUUGGGGUAUAUAUUUUGUCCCUGAUGAGCAGAGUUCUCUCUCUCUGCUUCCUGAUUGCCAAGUCCUGAGCUGCUUUCUCCCACCACUCUCUUCCACCACGAUUUUCUGCCUCACCUUGGACCCAGAGCUAUGGAGUCAGCCAUCUAGAGACUGGAUCUCUGAAAACAUGAGCCAAAGUAAGCAUUUCCUCCUUUAAGUUGUUCUUCUUGGGUCUUUUGGUCAUAGCAAUGUAAAAGCUGACUGCAACAGUGCC